GCACUACUGAAGAGUUGCAUAAUAAGCCGAAACAGCUGUCCAGUAC
RNAcentral lists this non-coding RNA (46 nucleotides) under Schistosoma margrebowiei. The record is from RNAcentral. Lineage: Eukaryota; Metazoa; Platyhelminthes; Trematoda; Strigeidida; Schistosomatidae.